UCGCAGCUUGCGCCGGCAGUCCCGGCAGAGUCCUCCGACUUGCGUCGGUUAGCAACUGCCGGUGGGGGUUGCGCUCGUUAUGGCACUUAAGCCGACACCUCACGGCACGAGCUGACGACAACCAUGCAGCACCUCGCCUGACGCCAUUGCUGGCCAAGGCCCUUUCAGGCCAUGUUCGUCAGGCGUUUGAGCCCGGGUAAGGUUCCUCGCGUAUCAUCGAAUUAAACCACAUGUUCCUCCGCUUGUGCGGGCCCCCGUCAAUUCCUUUGAGUUUCACCGUUGCCGGCGUACUCCCCAGGUGGGAUGCUUAACGCUUUCGCUGUGCCACCCAGGCCUCAUUCGGCCCGGACAGAUAGCAUCCAUCGUUUACUGUGCGGACUAC
Molecule: unclassified non-coding RNA, 382 nt
Filed under: uncultured Muribaculaceae bacterium
Lineage: Bacteria; Pseudomonadati; Bacteroidota; Bacteroidia; Bacteroidales; Muribaculaceae
Description: contains 16S-23S intergenic spacer region
Source: RNAcentral